AGCUAUAUACCAUUUCGGUAUAUAUUAGUGGUGAACGAGAUAGUAACACGUGGGCUAUCUGCCCUGCUCUCUGGGACAAGCCCUGGAAACGGGCUCUAAUACCGGAUACUGACCCGCUUGGGCAUCCAAGCGGUUCGAAAGCUCCGGCGGCGAAGGAAGCGCCCGCCGCCUAUCAGAGAGUUGGUGAGGUUAUGGCUCACCAAGGCGACUGCGGGGAGCCGGGCUGAGAGGGCGACCCCCCACACUGGGAGUGAGACACGGCCCAGACUCCUACGGGAGGCAGCAGGGGGUAAUAUUGCACAAUGGGCGAAAGUCUGAUGCAGCCACGCCGCGUGAGGGAUGACGCCCUUCGGGUUGUACACCUCUUUCAGGAGGGAAGAAGCGAUAGUGACGGUCCCUGCAGAAGAAGCGCCGGAUAACUAUGUGCCAGCCGCCGAGGUAAUACGUAGGGCGCAAGCUUUCUGCAGAAUUAUUGGGCUUAAAGAGCUCGUACGCGUUUUGUCACGUCAGGUGAAAAACCCCGGCGCUUAACCGCGGGUCUGCAGUUUAUAGGGAGUUUAAGCCUUGCGGUAGGAGACAUCAGAAUUGCGUGGUGUAGGGGUAAAAUGCGCAAAUAUCAAGAAGAACUGUUGUCCAGAACGGAGUAUCUCUGGGUUGAUACUGACACUGAGGAGCAAUCGCAUGGAGUGCGCACAGUAUGAUAUCCCGUGGUAGUCCACG
Molecule: ribosomal RNA, 720 nt
Filed under: Streptomyces sp.
Lineage: Bacteria; Bacillati; Actinomycetota; Actinomycetes; Kitasatosporales; Streptomycetaceae
Description: bacterial SSU rRNA
Rfam family: Bacterial small subunit ribosomal RNA
Source: RNAcentral